Molecule: ribosomal RNA, 484 nt
Filed under: uncultured bacterium
Lineage: Bacteria
Description: partial 16S ribosomal RNA
Rfam family: Bacterial small subunit ribosomal RNA
Source: RNAcentral
GAUGAACGCUGGCGGCGUGCUUAACACAUGCAAGUCGAACGGAUUUAUGAUGAAACCUAGUGCUUCAUAAGUUAGUGGCGGACGGGCGAGUAACGCGUGGAUAACCUGCCUUAUACCGGGGGAUAACACUAAGAAAUAGGUGCUAAUACCGCAUAAGCGCACAGAGCAGGAAGGCUUGGUGUGAAAACCUCCGGUGGCAUAACAUGGUUCCGCGUCUGAUUAGCUAGUUGGUGAGGUAAGGGCUCACCAAGGCGACGAUCAGUAGCCGGCCUGAGAGGGUGAACGGCCACAUUGGGACUGAGACACGGCCCAAACUCCGACGGGAGGCAGCAGUGGGGAAUAUUGCACAAUGGGCGAAAGCCUGAUGCAGCGACGCCGCGGGAGUGAAGAAGUAUUUCGGUAUGUAAAGCUCUAUCAGCAAGGAAGAAAAUGACGGUACUUGACUAAGAAUCCCCUGCUAACUACGUGCCAGCCGCCGCGGUAA